GACGAACGCUGGCGGCGUGCUUAACACAUGCAAGUCGAACGGAAAGGCCCUGCUUUUGUGGGGUGCUCGAGUGGCGAACGGGUGAGUAACACGUGAGUAACCUGCCCUUGACUUUGGGAUAACUUCAGGAAACUGGGGCUAAUACCGGAUAGGAGCUCCUGCUGCAUGGUGGGGGUUGGAAAGUUUCGGCGGUUGGGGAUGGACUCGCGGCUUAUCAGCUUGUUGGUGGGGUAGUGGCUUACCAAGGCUUUGACGGGUAGCCGGCCUGAGAGGGUGACCGGCCACAUUGGGACUGAGAUACGGCCCAGACUCCUACGGGAGGCAGGAGUGGGGAAUAUUGCACAAUGGGCGGAAGCCUGAGGCAGCAACGCCGCGUGCGGGAGGACGGCCUUCGGGUUGUAAACCGAUUUCGCCUGUGACGAAGCGUGAGUGACGGUAAUGGGGAAAGAAGCACCGGCUAACUACGU
RNAcentral lists this ribosomal RNA (467 nucleotides) under uncultured bacterium. RNAcentral describes it as "partial 16S ribosomal RNA". It matches the Rfam family "Bacterial small subunit ribosomal RNA", at positions 28 to 506 of the family's 1533-position model. The record is from RNAcentral.